AUGAGUAAUGCUACCUUAUCAGUUUGUUCCUGGAACAUUAGAGGUCUGGGCGAUGUUGACAAAUGUACGGAUGUGCUCUCCGAACUUUCAUCUAUUAAACCUCAUCUGCUGCUUCUGCAAGAAACGAAACUUGCUGCCCCGUCUAUGCUCAAAAUCAGAUCUUUUCUCCCUCGGUCUCUCGAUAUGCAGGUUACGCUACCAGCUACUGGAACUUUCGGUGGGCUGCUCACAGCCACGAACUCCUCCUUCCUUACGAUUCUCUCCCACACGAACUACGCCUACUGCUCGACGGUUCAAGUACAAUCUUUGGCAAGCCCCCUAACUUUACACAUCACAAACGUGUAUGCCCCCAUGAACCGCGCACUUAAGCUUGAAUUCCUAGCUGAAUUGGCCUCCAUCGCUCCACCUGAUCACUCCCCUUGGCUCCUCGUCGGGGACUUUAACCUUAUUCGCUUCCCGAACAAGAAAAACAACAACAACUUUCACUCCAACGAGGCCACUGCCUUUAACGAGACCCUUAACACACUUGCCCUCCUAGAACUCCCCCUUCUAGAUCGUCGGUUCACCUGGUCUAACAACAGAGAAUCACCGGUGCUAGAACGCCUGGAUUGGGCUUUUUUUAACCUAGCUUGGAAUAAUGCCUUCCCCAACUCCAACCUCACGACCCUCACACGCACCACCUCCGAUCAU
Molecule: ribosomal RNA, 690 nt
Filed under: Triticum aestivum (bread wheat)
Lineage: Eukaryota; Viridiplantae; Streptophyta; Magnoliopsida; Poales; Poaceae
Description: partial small subunit ribosomal RNA
Source: RNAcentral